This is a long non-coding RNA of Gekko japonicus, 298 nucleotides long. RefSeq lists it as uncharacterized. The transcript is spliced from 3 exons. Lineage: Eukaryota; Metazoa; Chordata; Lepidosauria; Squamata; Gekkonidae. The record is from RefSeq and is a predicted model, not a curated record.
CUGGAGCUCUCUGCAACCUGCAGCCUCCAGGAAAAAAGCUUAACCAGUCCCCUCAGGCUGGAAGCCAGGCGUGGGAGACGUUGCAGCUGCGCUGUUCCCCGGGGAUCUCCCAGGUCCACGAAGGACUAUUAUGCGGGCUUCAGACCAAGUUUUUGGUAUUGUACCAUUUUGCAUAAUGUAAUUGAGGGUGGAAUUCAGGUGUUCAAUCAAGUAAGAAGUUAUCGAAAUUAAAUGACCUCUGAACACAGCUUUAAACGCCUCCCAUAUCGUUAUUGGAUUUACUUCUGUUGUGAUAUUG